Molecule: long non-coding RNA, 194 nt
Organism: Hordeum vulgare subsp. vulgare (domesticated barley)
Lineage: Eukaryota; Viridiplantae; Streptophyta; Magnoliopsida; Poales; Poaceae
Exons: 3
Source: RefSeq, a predicted model, not a curated record
CCGGUGCGCAGCGCCACUACCAGCUGCAUCUGCUCCGAUCUACCACUACUCCAUAGCUGUUAAUCCUUGUAGGAAGCUGUGCAUUGAAGUUGGUCCGACGUCAAAGGUUUCCUUCAUCUCUGAGGAUCUGUGCAUUGGCUGUGGUAUUUGUGUCAAGAAAUGCCCAUUUGAUGCCAUCGAGAUCAUCAACCUCC